GUUCUUGUAGUUGAGAUUGUCAACAGUGGUUUUUCAGAUCACAAGCCUUGGAGAAAAGCCAAGCAAGAAUU
RNAcentral lists this transfer RNA (71 nucleotides) under Tauraco erythrolophus (red-crested turaco). Its description in RNAcentral is "tRNA-Glu". Lineage: Eukaryota; Metazoa; Chordata; Aves; Musophagiformes; Musophagidae. The record is from RNAcentral.